Molecule: ribosomal RNA, 406 nt
Filed under: uncultured bacterium
Lineage: Bacteria
Description: partial 16S ribosomal RNA
Rfam family: Bacterial small subunit ribosomal RNA
Source: RNAcentral
AUUGAACGCUGGCGGCAGGCCUAACACAUGCAAGUCGAGCGAGCGGCGGACGGGUGAGUAAUGUAUGGGGAUCUGUCCGAUAGAGGGGGAUAACUACUGGAAACGGUGGCUAAUACCGCAUACUAUCGGCUGAACCCAUAUGGGAUUAGCUAGUAGGUGGGGUAAAGGCUCAGCUAGGCGACGAUCUCUAGCUGGUCUGAGAGGAUGAUAACCCAUACUGGAGCUGGGGCACGGUCCAGACUCCUACGGGAGUCGUCAGUGGUGAUUGUUGCACAUUGGGCGGAAGCCUGAUGCGGCCAUGCCGCGUGUUUGAAGAGGGCCUUAGGGUUCUAAAUCACUUUCAGCGGGUAGGCGUUACCCGCAGAGGAAGCACCGGCUAACUCCGUGCCAGCAGCCGCGGUAAUAC